CCUACGGGAGGCUGCAGUGGGGAAUAUUGGACAAUGGGGGGAACCCUGAUCCAGCCAUGCCGCGUGUGUGAAGAAGGCCCUCGGGUUGUAAAGCACUUUCUGUGAGGAAGAACGCCUGGUGGUUAAUACCCAUCAGGAAAGACAUCACUCACAGAAGAAGCACCGGCUAACUCCGUGCCAGCAGCCGCGGUAAUACGGAGGGUGCGAGCGUUAAUCGGAAUUACUGGGCGUAAAGCGCGCGUAGGUGGCUUGAUAAGCCGGUUGUGAAAGCCCCGGGCUCAACCUGGGAACGGCAUCCGGAACUGUCAAGCUAGAGUGCAGGAGAGGAAGGUAGAAUUCCCGGUGUAGCGGUGAAAUGCGUAGAGAUCGGGAGGAAUACCAGUGGCGAAGGCGGCCUUCUGGACUGACACUGACACUGAGGUGCGAAAGCGUGGGUAGCAAACAGGAUUAGAUACCCGAGUAGUC
Molecule: ribosomal RNA, 465 nt
Filed under: Vreelandella stevensii
Lineage: Bacteria; Pseudomonadati; Pseudomonadota; Gammaproteobacteria; Oceanospirillales; Halomonadaceae
Description: partial 16S ribosomal RNA
Rfam family: Bacterial small subunit ribosomal RNA
Source: RNAcentral